Molecule: long non-coding RNA, 2834 nt
Organism: Culex pipiens pallens (northern house mosquito)
Lineage: Eukaryota; Metazoa; Arthropoda; Insecta; Diptera; Culicidae
Exons: 2
Source: RefSeq, a predicted model, not a curated record
AAAUUUAUUGAGCUGCCAGGUAACAAACUAAUAACUAUAAAUCCAUAGGUUGCUUGAUCAUCUCCAACAGUAAUAUCUAAAUCGAUUUUCAAAUACAGCAAUUGUUCAGUUCCUUUUGGGGUCGUAAACAACUCCCCAAAGUUUGGGAACGAUUGGUUUAGUCCUCACUUUGCGCAAAGCGAUUCAAUUUUCUAUGGGAAUUUAUAAGGGAAACACCUCGGGAAACACCCUUUCUAUUUUGGUAUUUUGAAAUCCACGUUUUACGCUAUAUUAAAACUGGGCGCGUAUUCGGUUGCUCUACACGGUUACAAAAAAUCCCACUUUUGGAGUUCAAAUAUACUUUUGCCAGACCGCUGAAGCAAACUCGAAAAAGUGUGAUUUCUCGAACUUGUGAAAUGGUGAAAAUCAUGAAAAAACAAGAUCGAUUCAUGGAACUCCCAUAAGUAUAAUUUUGGACUUAGCAAAAUUUCGCAAUUUUUUGGAAACGUUUCAAGUUGUCAUUUUUCUCAAAUUUUCGUGCUAAGACGGUUCACGGCUAGAAACAGGUAAGUAAGUUCCGGGUUCUGGGUGAAAUUUAGCCACCGUUGAUCGGAUUGUUUCACUCGCAACGGUGGCCAAGUGGAGUCGGUUCCUCAAAGGACGGAUUUUUACAAGAGAAACUGUUCCUCCGGAGGACGGAUUGCCUUGCAAAGUUGACAGGGGGAACUAGUCCAUCGGUGGACGGUUUGUCCUCUAAAGUUGGAAAGGGGGACUGGUCUACCGGUGGACGGAUUGUCUACCUAAGUUGGCAUGAGCACGGAUUCCUGGGUAAUGUUUGCAGGAGAAUUCCGUUCACCGGUGGACGGAUAGCCUGCCUAAAUUGGCUAGAAGAAUUAGUCCACCGGUGGACGGAUUCCUGGGAAAUGCUUCGCAGGAGGAAUCCGUCCACCGGUGAACGGGUUGCCUGCCUAAGUCGGCAAGAGGAACUGGUCCACCGGUGGACGGAUUCAUGGGGAGAUUGCCUGCCUAAGUUGGCAAGAGGAACUGGUCCACCGGUGGACGGAUUCAUGGGAAGAUUGCCCGCCCUAAGUUGGCAAGAGGAGCUGGUCCACCGGUGGACAGAUUCCUGGGCAAUGUUGUGCAGGAGGAAUCCAUCUGCCUAAGUCGGACUGUCUGCCUAAGUUGGCAAGGGGAACAGGUUCACCGGUGGACGGAUUUCUUGGCAAUGUAGUCGAUCAAUGAAGGGUUUUCUUUUCAUAAAUUCAGUUCAAUUAUUUAAUAAAUUUAAAUGUUUUUACAAUUCAAGUUUCAGGUCGCCUCGAGAGAUUCAUUAUGCGAUCUUAUUUCCGUCCGACGAUACAUUGCCCACUCGGGUUUCUCAGCUGCCACAAUGACCAUGUCCGUUGAAUGCGCUUAAAGUGGUUCAAACCUUCUACAAUAGCGUCUGUCAACGAUGCUAGGUUUAAGAAGAUACGGUGUACUCCGAGUCAGAGGAUAUCAGCGAGCGCAACUGCACUGGGCACGGAUUGGCCUACCACGAACCGAAAUUCCGCGCUCCAUGAUUGGGUACUCGCCGAAAUCGUUGGCUUCGCUGAUGAAUGCUUCCCGUACUAGCGGCUUGUACGGACAUCUGUCGGCUAGUGUGCUGGCAAGCCAACAAGCAUGAGCAGUCCGAGCAUCUAGUCGGGGUCGGACGCACACUCGUCGGGUCAACCGUCGAUCAGCAGUCCGAUGUCGAUUCCGGCGCUUACUGCUGGGCUGGUAGACGACAACGACGGCGGCCGCAUGCAGCUGAGCAGUCUCGGAGACAUUAAUUGACGGCGUGGCCGUACUCGGACGAGGAUUUGAAGGUCGCCGAUCUACCACACGUUCUGCGGGAAAUGGUUGACCUCGGUGGUCCAACCGCUGGCGCAGGAGAUCCUUGGAAUCGGUUCAAGAACCACAUCAACAACAAGGGUUCUCUAAUGAGUAUUCCGCUGUCCAAAAUCCCGGAGAUCAGCCAGCUCUACUUUGAGCUUAACCGGCGAAUAACCGAUCACGAAAUGGAACCGGGUACGACUUCGUCUCCGUAGCCAUCGUCCCUCGAAAGGACCCAGAAAGUACCCUCACCGCCAGCCAGCAAGUUGCACCCCAACCAGGAGAUGGUCGAGAACAAUUUGGGCCACAUCGGCAUAGUGACAAAGUAAUCGGCCUGGAUCAUCUUCGUUACGGCCGGUGCAGCAGCAGUCGCCAGACCAAACUGCUCCCUCGUCCCAGAUUCCUCCUUGAAGGAAGCAAUCUACACAUCGGUGAACAUCACCUUGGCGGCCGGGACAGCUUCCAGCAGCGUCGCUUGAUCCUUCUCCUGCUCCUUCGGAUCACGGUAAUAGAAGAGGUCGUAUCUGCAGAUCACUUACUUUUACUGCUCGGAAAACCUGCGGGUUAUGAGCUGUCUCCAGAUGAGUUGCCAUCUAACUCGGUUCUGGGCUGCUUCUCUCCAUCCUUCUUCAUCUUCAUCCUUCUUCUCCAUACAGUGUUCUCACGCACGCCGCCAAAGAUCGUCCUAAGCACUUGCCGUUCGAAAACUUCAAACUCCUCCACCUCAAACUCGUCGCCGUCGAUCGUCACGCUCGGUCCUAUGCGAGCCCUAAGGGACUCGGUUCCUCCUGCCAGCAGAUACUUCGUCUUCGCCACAUUCACCUUCAAUCCAACCUUCUCCGUUUCCCGCUUCAAUUCGGUGUACCUCCUGGCCACUUCCUCGAACGUUCUGCCAACAAUGUCCAUAUCGUCGGAUUUGUCUUUAGUUAAGUUAAGUUUUAUCAUUAAGACCACAAGUUAUCGGAUGAUUCAAAUAAACAAAUAAACAAAUAAACAAA